This 4642-nucleotide long non-coding RNA is filed under the name Equus caballus (horse). RNAcentral describes it as "lncRNA (ENSECAG00000045146.1)". The record is from RNAcentral. Lineage: Eukaryota; Metazoa; Chordata; Mammalia; Perissodactyla; Equidae.
GUCUAGUUUGUGGCACAGGUAGGCCUAUCACAAAGUCUCUUGACUCUCAGUCCUGUGUUCUUGACCCCACAGAGCUCAACACAAUUUUGACCUGAUUGUCCUUCUAUGAUAAGGAUGGCCUUCCAGUAAGCCAAUGAGUAGAUACUGGGCACUCAAAUAUGCCUAGCGUAGCAAACAUAGGACUAAGGAAGAAAUAAGGGAAAACUAAAAAGAACCUAUAAUGUACUUAUUAAUAGGCCACCAAAUAGAAGUUUUUAGCCUUCAUCCUUAUAAUAAAGUACCAUUUUGAAGAAAUAUCCUAGUACUUUUCCUCAUUUAUGAACUGUAGAUGAUACAGGCUGUCACUAGAUCUGAACAAAACACAUGUGUUCACUUUAGUAUCAUAAAUCUCAUCUUCACUGUGCUAUAUUUUGCUUAUGACUCGUUUACGAGUUGUGCAUCUAUGUUCAUGAAGGAGAUUGUGGUUUUUCUUGAAAUGUGAGGUUCCUGGUCUCGUUAACAGCAAUGCCACAUCCUCCACUGCAGUCUCCGAGUUUGCCCAUUUCUUUGGUUCCAGCCUUCUCUGCUAGGAAGCACAAUGCUGAUGUCUGCAUUGGAACGUGCGGUAUAUUCCAGCAAGGUGGAGGCAAUGAAAGAGCAUGAGAGAAAUCCACCAGUGCUUCAGAUAAAGAAAUGAAAAUUCUUGGGGAAAUGCAAAUGGACACAAAAGCCAUUAAAGAGAACCUCCGUGUCCAUUUCUUGUGAAGACCUUAGGCAUCUUUUUGAAGACGCCCCACCAUAGAUUUCCUGAAGAUUCUCUGGAGGCUCGUUCCUGGCCAUUGCUGACCCUGGACUCAGGUGUAGACGGCCUUGCUUGGCCCCCACGACCGUCCCGCUCUGCCCAUUUCUGUCCGAGAGGCUGAAUGCGAAGCUCGGAGAAGGCGGCCGGCCCUGCUGUCCCAUCAGAGAGGCCUCAGAGGGCCCACAGCCAUUGCCAGGUAGGGUCCCUCCCGGGGCCUUCUGGUUUUCCUCACUCACAGGUGAAGUUGAAGGGAGGGGAUGGGCCAGGCGCAGAACUGAUGCUUUUGUGGUCAAAGUCUUAUGUUUCUCUCCUGGGUGGGGCUCAAGAGGUUUUCCCGAGAACUCUGCACUGUCGGCCUCCAAGCGGGUGCCAGAAUCACGGGUGGCAGAGGAGGGAAAAGUAGACCGUGGAAGGGCCGAGGGUUGAGCCUCACUUGCGUUCAGAUCAGCCGACUCCAAGGACAGGAGGGGUGGGCGCCAGCGGAAAUUCAGCCCAGACGUGAUACUGGGUGCUUCGAGCAUCUGAGGGCUGCCUGGGUCGUCUUGUUCUUCUUUUUCCCAGGCCUUCGUUUGUGUUCUUUUCCUGAUUUCCAUCUUGAGCAGCUUUGGCGCAUCAGGGUUGGCAACUGAGGGGCUAUCCGUCUCUCCCUCCCUAUGUGUGGGGCCUCCCCGGAAUGAGGCUACUGGUCGGUGGCAGGACAGGUGCCCUUGCUGGGACUGGAGGUGUGCUGACCCGGGGAAGAACAAGACCUUGAUCAUGUUCCACCGGGAGAGGAACUCGACGCGCCAGCUCAUGCGGCCGUGGCCUGAGUUGGGAAAUGGCCAACAGGAGUGAGCUGGAGCUGUGCUCAUGGCAGUAGUGUCCAGUGGGAUUCCGGUCAAGUCAGCUGGAGGUUCUGCUGGCAGGGUGGAGGCCAGAGGUAUAGGGGUGUGGGUCAGAGGACUCAGGGAAUGUGCUGGAGUCACGGUGAGAGUAGCACCUGCCACAGGCUUUCCGCAUGGCUGCUGGGCUCUGGCGUAUGCUGUGUUGCUCGCCUCCCCAGGGUAGUCUUGACAUGAUGAGCGAUGGGAGCAUCCCUUGGAAGACAGCCUCCCUGGGGAGCUGCGGGAGACAGGAGGCACCAGCUGCAGCCGGGAGCAGAGGGGCCCGGGACAGCAGGGCAGUCCAGGCGGGGGUGGCCCCUUGGGAGCCAUGGCCCUCCAUGGCCCCACCUCCACUUCACCAAAUUCUCCUGCUCUCCCUCACCGCAGGCCUUUGGCCACCCCUGUCCCCAUGGCUCCCCUCCCAGCUCUGCCCCAAUCUGCCUGCAGCCCUGGGGCCACACCAGAGACUCUGGGAGCAAGAAGUCCGGGAGAGAAGGGCAAGAUCCCUUACCUGUGCGAAAGCGACACCUGGCCCCGCACUUCUGCCAGGCCCUUCCCAGCAGCUCUGGAAGCUAGAAAUCCGGAGACUGGGUCACAGCACUGAAAGCGGGGCGGGGGCGGCGGGGGCGGUGGAUAGGGCUCUUACAGGAGGCUGCGUGCACUGUGCCUUUAGGGGAGUCUGUUGGGAGGUCAGACUGUCGAACCUGGGCACCAGUGUCCAAGGCCACCGGAUCCCUGAUGGGGCUGGCAAGGCUGCUGAUGGGUUGAGCUAUGUCAUUGACCACGCGCUUCCACCUCCACCACAGCCCACAUGCCCCGGCUGGACGAGACCCUGUUCCAGGCCCCUCCUGGCCCGGGCCCUGGUUCCCAGCACAGAAUGUGGCAAGUCCUCAGGUUUUCGUCUCCCUCCCGCAAACCUCCCUGAGUGUUCUGUUUCCUGAGGGACGGGUUCUGCCCCUGGCAUCCUCGAGCCCGUGGAGCUGGGCACUCAGGGACAGGAGAUGGGGGGGCCAGCUCUGGGGCACGGGGCUGAAUGGCAGGAGCUUACCUUUCAAAGCUCCCCUUUUCUUCCUGCUCCUGCUGCUCUUCCCUCUUGGCUCCACUUGACGCUGAAGUGAGAGAAAAAAGAAGCAGCUGUGGGGGCUCCCUCUCCUGUCUCUGGACCAGCCGUGGACACUUAGCGCUUAUGAGGAAGAUGACUGCCUACACUCAGCUCCUGGCGCCCGGGGGUGUUUCUUUCCUUUUACUCAUUUUUGAAGUGGAGACUAGAACAUGAAACGGAUCUUUGGUGUCUUCCUUCUUUGGAGAACGUGAGGAAGGAUGAUUUUCUGUGUGAGACCCACCAUGGAUUUCUUUCAUCACUGUUCCUCUGUUCAAGAAUCACGCACAUUCGCAGACGUCCAGAAGCUUCUGAGCUUCCUCAGGGAGGACUCUGCUUCCCGAGGCCCGAGCCCCACUCCAGACCCUGCCUGGAGGCUCUCGGGGGCUCAGCACUGCCCUCAGAUCAGUCCCGACAGAGGAAAGGCCUGCUCAAGACGCCUGCCCCAGGAAGGCGGUGGGGGAACCAGAGCUCAAGACCUGUCCUCCCACACAGAUCCCACUCAGCAUCCCUUCCUCAGCCUCUGGUCACUGGACUGGGGACUUUCCCUGGAGCCCUCUACCACACCUGGACUCCUGCUCUGAGAUCUUCCGAGGGAAAUCCUCGUGCCCUCUCUAAUCCCUGCUCGCCCAGCCUGGCUUGUCCGUGGAAGGAUGAUGUUGUAUUCUCUGCCAGUUCCGGAGUCCCUCUACUUUGAUUCAGAAUCUUGGAAAUGACAGUGGAACAGAAGAGAGACUCAUCUUCUGGUGGGUCUCUGCCCAGGGUUUCUUACCUUCCUUAUGUUUCUGCGUUCACAAGGUGGUCGUGAGGAUGGAUUCCUCUGCAGGGAGGGAAGGCACAGGAGGAAGAGCCCCAGUCCACACAGGAAGGGGAGGAUGGUCCCAAUCACCCAGGAAGUGGAACUGGAGCUCGGCCAGGUAGCAAAGAGGCUUUUCAGAAACAUGAGAGGAUUCUGCAUGUCUGAAACGCAGUGCUGCCCUCAGGCGACUGAGCUCUGGGAGUGGCUUGGAGAUUAUUACCCCAGGCCCCCAUGACAGAAGUGCGGCCUUGUCACAAAGGGCUCUUGAGGGCUGGGGAGGGGACAGCAGGGGAGCAGGCUGGACCAGAGCCCCUCCCCCACCCUCUAGCCUACGUCUCCCUCCCUCUACCCUCCUGGGCCUUCUAGACCUUAGCUAGUUUUCUAUGUCUUCCCCCUGGAAGCCAGAGGUCACCGGGUUCCUUGCGUCUCCUGGAUUCUUGGUUUGAAGCCAGCUAUCUCAUGGCCUUCGAAAGUCUGAAGUUCUCCCAGGAAUUUGAUCUAGUUCCCAGGGAUUCAUACCCUGAUCCUGCUCUGUCCUCAACUCUGAUUGCUGUUUUCACCUCACCUAGUGACUUUGCGUGUGUGUGUGAGGACACUGAAGUGCCAGUCUCCUAGCUGAUUUCAAUUAUGCAAUUCAGUGUUAUCGACUGUAGUCACCACGCCAGACAUUAGAACCUCCGACGUUUCUCAUCUGAGAGGUGAAAGUUUGUCUCCUUUUACCUGCCUCUCUCUAUUUCCCCCACGCCACAGCCGCUGGCAACCACUUUUCUAUUCUCUGUUUCUAUGAGUUGACCUUUCUUUUAUAGUUUUUCGAGUUCACAUGUAAGUGACCCCAGGCAGUAUCUGUGUUUCUAUGUCUGGCUUGUUUCAUUGAGCAUAACGCCCACCAGGUUCAUCCAUGUUGCACAAAUCUCAACUCCAUUUGUCCACAUAAGGUUUUCGUUUCAUCAAUCUGGAAUUCCCAUUUUAUUUUAUACUUAUUUGGUUUUGAUUAUUAACAUUGUUAUUUUUUCCAUCAACGUUUGCCAUCUUGACUCAGAACGACUCACCCAAAAAUUGAAAUGAAUCAUUUAUUAUUUAACAUAAGCAUAAUAAAUACU